Molecule: unclassified non-coding RNA, 314 nt
Filed under: plant metagenome
Description: partial contains 5.8S ribosomal RNA, internal transcribed spacer 2, and large subunit ribosomal RNA
Rfam family: 5.8S ribosomal RNA (bases 1-105)
Source: RNAcentral
GAAAUGCGAUAAUUAAUGUGAAUUGCAGAAUUCAGUGAAUCAUCGAGUCUUUGAACGCACAUUGCGCCCCCUGGUAUUCCGGGGGGCAUGCCUGUCCGAGCGUCAUUGCUGCCCUCAAGCACGGCUUGUGUGUUGGGCUUCCGUCCCUGGCAACGGGGACGGGCCCAAAAGGCAGUGGCGGCACCAUGUCUGGUCCUCGAGCGUAUGGGGCUUUGUCACCCGCUCCCGUAGGUCCAGCUGGCAGCUAGCCUCGCAACCAAUCUUUUUAACCCGGUUGACCUCGGAUCAGGUAGGGAUACCCGCUGAACUUAAGC